UCAGCCAGACUGGGACUGGGACACGGCCCAGACUCCUACGGGAGGCAGCAGUUAGGAAUUUUGGGCAAUGGCCGCAAGGCUGACCCAGCAACGCCGCGUGCGGGACGAAGGCCUUCGGGUCGUAAACCGCUUUUCCCAGGGGACGAUGAUGACGGUACCUGGGGAAGAAGCCCCGGCUAACUACGUGCCAGCAGCCGCGGUAAUACGUAGGGGGCGAGCGUUGUCCGGAUUCAUUGGGCGUAAAGCGCGCGCAGGCGGCCCCGCAAGUCGGCCGUGAAAUCUCCGGGCUCAACUCGGAGGGGUCGGGCGAGACUGCGGGGCUCGAGGUGGGCAGAGGGCAGUGGAAUUCCGGGUGUAGUGGUGGAAUGCGUAGAGAUCCGGAGGAACACCAGUGGCGAAGGCGGCUGCCUGGGCCUGGCCUGACGCUGAGGCGCGAAAGCGUGGGGAGCGAUCCGGAUUAGAUACCCGGGUAGUCCACGCCGUAAACGAUGGGCACUAGGUGUCGGGGGUAUCGACCCCCUCGGUGCCGGCGCUAACGCAAUAAGUGCCCCGCCUGGGGAGUACGGCCGCAAGGCUAAAACUCAAAGGAAUUGACGGGGGCCCGCACAAGCAGCGGAGCGUGUGGU
This 626-nucleotide ribosomal RNA is filed under the name uncultured Chloroflexota bacterium. RNAcentral describes it as "bacterial SSU rRNA". It matches the Rfam family "Bacterial small subunit ribosomal RNA", at positions 304 to 945 of the family's 1533-position model. Lineage: Bacteria; Bacillati; Chloroflexota. The record is from RNAcentral.